This is a long non-coding RNA of Anoplopoma fimbria (sablefish), 325 nucleotides long. RefSeq lists it as uncharacterized. NCBI's taxonomy places the organism in Eukaryota, Metazoa, Chordata, Actinopteri, Perciformes, Anoplopomatidae. The record is from RefSeq and is a predicted model, not a curated record. The transcript has 3 exons.
UUGUACUGACACAGUAGCGAUACGGGCUGAGUAGACAUGGAGGCCCAAUUAACGAGGGAGGCCCGUGCUGACACAUCCAGGCCUAGCUAACGGCGUGUCGGACCAGAUUUUGGAGCAUCUCGGGAGGGAGUACGGAUACCAGUUGCUGACUUGAAAGACAAAAUAUGUGGCCACCACGUUGAUACACACGAAGGGAGGACACAGAGCCAAAUAAUGUGAACACCGUUUCUGGACAUUUACAGAGUUGAAGGACGGAGAAAGAGGGCUGGACUGCCAAGGAAGGGAGAGAAGCCAACACAAAACAAGGAGAGCUUCACCCUCACCG